This is a long non-coding RNA of Amblyraja radiata (thorny skate), 115 nucleotides long. RefSeq lists it as uncharacterized. The record is from RefSeq and is a predicted model, not a curated record. Lineage: Eukaryota; Metazoa; Chordata; Chondrichthyes; Rajiformes; Rajidae. The transcript is spliced from 3 exons.
UUGUCAGAUUUUUGAAAAUUUUCAUUAAUAACUCGAGAAAUAAAGCAUGACAUUUUCAGAUAAGGUGAUUUUGGACUUCAGGGGAAAAAUGUCUACCGGUAUAUCUAAAAGUCUA